This 492-nucleotide ribosomal RNA is filed under the name uncultured Collinsella sp. RNAcentral's name for it is "partial 16S ribosomal RNA". Lineage: Bacteria; Bacillati; Actinomycetota; Coriobacteriia; Coriobacteriales; Coriobacteriaceae. The record is from RNAcentral.
CACGUAGUUAGCCGGGGCUUCUUCUGCAGGUACCGUCUUGUCUCAUCCCUGCUGAAAGCGGUUUACGACCCGAGGGCCUUCGUCCCGCACGCGGCGUCGCUGCGUCAGGGUUCCCCCCAUUGCGCAAGAUUCCCCACUGCUGCCUCCCGUAGGAGUCUGGGCCGUGUCUCAGCCCCAAUCUGGCCGGUCGGUCUCUCAACCCGGCUACCCGUCGUCGGCACGGUGGGCCGUCACCCCGCCGUCUACCUGAUGGGCCGCGGAGCCAUCCCCUCCCGUCUGGGCUUUGCCCGCGGGGCCAUGCGGCCCCGCGGGGUCAUCCGGUAUUACCCACGGUUUCCCGAGGCUAUCCCGGAGGAGGGGCGGGUUCUCCACGUGUUACUCAGCCGUUCGCCACUCGCUUCCACCCGAGGGUGGGUGCCGUUCGACUUGCAUGUGUUAGGCGCGCCGCCAGCGUUCAUCCUGAGCCAGGAUCAAACUCUCUGGACAGCACCA